GGCGAACGCUGGCGGCGUGCUUAACACAUGCAAGUCGAACGAAGAGCGAUGGAAGCUUGCUUCUAUCAAUCUUAGUGGCGAACGGGUGAGUAACGCGUAAUCAACCUGCCCUUCAGAGGGGGACAACAGUUGGAAACGACUGCUAAUACCGCAUACGAUCUAAUCUCGGCAUCGAGGAAAGAUGAAAGGUGGCCUCUAUUUAUAAGCUAUCACUGAAGGAGGGGAUUGCGUCUGAUUAGCUAGUUGGAGGGGUAACGGCCCACCAAGGCGAUGAUCAGUAGCCGGUCUGAGAGGAUGAACGGCCACAUUGGGACUGAGACACGGCCCAGACUCCUACGGGAGGCAGCAGUGGGGAAUCUUCCGCAAUGGACGAAAGUCUGACGGAGCAACGCCGCGUGAGUGAUGACGGCCUUCGGGUUGUAAAGCUCUGUUAAUCGGGACGAAAGGCCUUCUUGCGAACAGUUAGAAGGAUUGACGGUACCGGAAUAGAAAGCCACGGCUAACUACGUG
Molecule: ribosomal RNA, 510 nt
Filed under: uncultured bacterium
Lineage: Bacteria
Description: partial 16S ribosomal RNA
Rfam family: Bacterial small subunit ribosomal RNA
Source: RNAcentral